Molecule: ribosomal RNA, 253 nt
Filed under: uncultured bacterium
Lineage: Bacteria
Description: partial 16S ribosomal RNA
Rfam family: Bacterial small subunit ribosomal RNA
Source: RNAcentral
UACGGAGGAUGCAAGCGUUAUCCGGAUUUAUUGGGUUUAAAGGGUGCGUAGGUGGGAUAAUAAGUCAGAGGUGAAAGCUAGCAGCUUAACUGUUAAAUUGCCUUUGAUACUGUUAUUCUUGAGUGUAGUUGGCGUUGGCGGAAUGUGACAUGUAGCGGUGAAAUGCGUAGAUAUGUCACAGAACACCGAUCGCGAAGGCAGCUAACGAAGCUAUCACUGACACUGAUGCACGAAAGCGUGGGGAGCAAACAGG